GGUGAAAUGCGUAGAGAUCUGAAGGAACACCAGUGGCGAAGGCGGCUCUCUGGACUCAAACUGACGCUGGGGUACGAAAGCGUGGGUAGCAACAGGAUUAGAUACCCUGGUAGUCCACGCCGUAAACGAUGUCAACUAACUGUUGGGUUCUUAAAGAACUUAGUAGUGGAGCUAACGUAUUAAGUUGACCGCCUGGGGAGUACGGCCGCAAGGCUAAAACUCAAAUGAAUUGACGGGGGCCCGCACAAGCGGUGGAGCAUGUGGUUUAAUUCGAUGCAACGCGAAGAACCUUACCUACCCUUGACAUCCAGAGAAUCUGUUAGAGAUAGCGGAGUGCCUUCGGGAGCUCUGAGACAGGUGCUGCAUGGCUGUCGUCAGCUCGUGUUGUGAAAUGUUGGGUUAAGUCCCGUAACGAGCGCAACCCUUAUCCUUAGUUGCCAGCGGGUCAUGCCGGGAACUCUAGGGAGACUGCCGGUGAUAAACCGGAGGAAGGUGGGGACGACGUCAAGUCAUCAUGGCCCUUAUGGGUAGGGCUACACACGUGCUACAAUGGCCGGUACAGAGGGCUGCGAACUCGCGAGAGUAAGCCAAUCCCAAAAAGCCGGUCCCAGUCCGGAUCGCAGUCUGCAACUCGACUGCGUGAAGUCGGAAUCGCUAGUAAUCGCGGAUCAGAAUGCCGCGGUGAAUACGUUCCCGGGCCUUGUACACACCGCCCGUCACACCAUGGGAGUGGGUUGCAAAAGAAGUAGGUAGUUUAACCUUCGGGAGGGUCGCUUACCACUUUGUGAUUCAUGACUGGGGUGAAGUCGUAACAAGGUAAC
This 821-nucleotide ribosomal RNA is filed under the name uncultured Gammaproteobacteria bacterium. RNAcentral's name for it is "bacterial SSU rRNA". It matches the Rfam family "Bacterial small subunit ribosomal RNA", at positions 680 to 1500 of the family's 1533-position model. The record is from RNAcentral. Lineage: Bacteria; Pseudomonadati; Pseudomonadota; Gammaproteobacteria.